This 74-nucleotide transfer RNA is filed under the name Ixodes scapularis (black-legged tick). It matches the Rfam family "tRNA". Rfam says of the family: Transfer RNA (tRNA) molecules are approximately 80 nucleotides in length. Their secondary structure includes four short double-helical elements and three loops (D, anti-codon, and T loops). The record is from Rfam by way of RNAcentral. Lineage: Eukaryota; Metazoa; Arthropoda; Arachnida; Ixodida; Ixodidae.
GCCGGGAUGGCCUAAUCGGGUACAGCGUCGCCCCGGUCAGGCGAAGAUUGUGGGUUCAAUCCCCGCUCCUGGCC